This 253-nucleotide ribosomal RNA is filed under the name uncultured bacterium. RNAcentral's name for it is "partial 16S ribosomal RNA". It matches the Rfam family "Bacterial small subunit ribosomal RNA", at positions 524 to 776 of the family's 1533-position model. The record is from RNAcentral.
UACGUAGGUGGCAAGCGUUGUCCGGAAUUAUUGGGCGUAAAGCGCGCGCAGGCGGCCUUUUAAGUCUGAUGUGAAAGCCCACGGCUCAACCGUGGAGGGUCAUUGGAAACUGGGGAACUUGAGUACAGAAGAGGAAAGUGGAAUUCCACGUGUAGCGGUGAAAUGCGUAGAGAUGUGGAGGAACACCAGUGGCGAAGGCGACUUUCUGGUCUGUAACUGACACUGAGGCGCGAAAGCGUGGGGAGCGAACAGG